GGCUCAGGACGAACGCUGGCGGCGUGCUUAACACAUGCAAGUCGAACGGUGAUGAGGAGCUUGCUUCUCUGAUCAGUGGCGAACGGGUGAGUAACACGUGAGCAAUCUGCCCUUGACUCUGGGAUAAGCGUUGGAAACGACGUCUAAUACCGGAUACGACCUUUGGAGGCAUCUCUGGGGGUGGAAAGAAUUUUGGUCAAGGAUGAGCUCGCGGCCUAUCAGCUAGUUGGUGAGGUAAUGGCUCACCAAGGCGACGACGGGUAGCCGGCCUGAGAGGGUGACCGGCCACACUGGGACUGAGACACGGCCCAGACUCCUACGGGAGGCAGCAGUGGGGAAUAUUGCACAAUGGGCGAAAGCCUGAUGCAGCAACGCCGCGUGAGGGACGACGGCCUUCGGGUUGUAAACCUCUUUUAGUAGGGAAGAAGCGAUGUGCUUGCCACAAAGUGACGGUA
This 455-nucleotide ribosomal RNA is filed under the name Cryobacterium sp. R-42756. Its description in RNAcentral is "bacterial SSU rRNA". It matches the Rfam family "Bacterial small subunit ribosomal RNA", at positions 21 to 477 of the family's 1533-position model. Lineage: Bacteria; Bacillati; Actinomycetota; Actinomycetes; Micrococcales; Microbacteriaceae. The record is from RNAcentral.